This 578-nucleotide ribosomal RNA is filed under the name Mycoacia fuscoatra. RNAcentral's name for it is "eukaryotic LSU rRNA". The stretch from base 178 to 331 matches the Rfam family "5.8S ribosomal RNA". Lineage: Eukaryota; Fungi; Basidiomycota; Agaricomycetes; Polyporales; Meruliaceae. The record is from RNAcentral.
CUGGGGUCUCUAACCGGGAUUCAAAGUGCACGCCCUUGUCUACAUUCUCAAACCCCUGUGCACUUAUUGUAGGCUCGGUGGAAAGGCUGACUUCACGGUUGGCCUGAAAGCCUUGCCUAUGCUUUAACACACGCUUCAGUCUAUGAAUGUCAUUUUGCGGAUAACGCAUUUAAAUACAACUUUCAACAACGGAUCUCUUGGCUCUCGCAUCGAUGAAGAACGCAGCGAAAUGCGAUAAGUAAUGUGAAUUGCAGAAUUCAGUGAAUCAUCGAAUCUUUGAACGCACCUUGCGCUCCUUGGUAUUCCGAGGAGCAUGCCUGUUUGAGUGUCAUGGAAUUCUCAACCUUCAACACUUUUGUGAAGAAGGCUUGGACUUGGAGGCCGUGUGGGCUGGCAACAGUCGACUCCUCUGAAAUGUAUUAGUUGCGAACCUUACGGAUCGCUUCGGUGUGAUAAUUGUCUACGCCGUGGUGUUGAAGUAUAGCAGUGUUCGAGCUUCUAACAGUCCGCAAGGACAAUUUUUUGACAAUCUGACCUCAAAUCAGGUAGGACUACCCGCUGAACUUAAGCAUAUCAAA